GGAAAUCGUUCUUUGUGUUUACGUCCUUGUGUGUUUCUUUUCUUAUUCUUUGGAGUCGUUGUAAACGUUUGGUUCACCUCUCAACACCUCACGGAGUACAAGCAAGCUUACAACACUUGUGAGAUUAAAGUGUGAGGAAUUCGAGAGGUAAAGAAAUAAAGAGAGAGCGUGAGGACCUUUCUUGUACAACUAAUUUAUUUGUGUUUUGUAGGUAACUUCUUAGCCGCAAUGAAUAACAACAUUUCUAAUGUUAUCUUGGCCGAGAAUAAAACUCAAUUGAGCCGAAUGAGAUUGAAGGCAAAUCUCAAGAUGGAGAGAAAGUCGAGGUUUAAAAUGAAGUUGUUAUGUUCUCAGUUUCUUCUUAUUUUGUGGGCUAUUUUGGAACCAUUUUCAUUUGGUUUGUACAGUGAAUUUAAGGUCAAAUUCCUCUCAAUAUGGAGAGGAUAAUACAGGUACAAUCAUGAAGAUGGACGUUUUUUAAUGUGUUGAAUGCAACCUACGGAGUGUAUGAGUUAGAGUGUGGAAAGGGCUCAAAAGUCGUCCCUCUAUUGCACUACAUGGGAGCCAUUUUGUUCAUUCAACACUAAGGGGAACUUUUGUCAUUUUGCCUAUUAUUGUAAUAAGUCUAUAAAUAGAACAUGUUAGGGUUUAUUUCAUUUGGUUGCUGAAUAUUGAUGUAAGAUCACUUGAGAGAA
Molecule: long non-coding RNA, 695 nt
Filed under: Capsicum annuum
Lineage: Eukaryota; Viridiplantae; Streptophyta; Magnoliopsida; Solanales; Solanaceae
Description: long non-coding RNA (CANN_LNC003087)
Source: RNAcentral